RNAcentral lists this non-coding RNA (219 nucleotides) under Tolypothrix campylonemoides. Lineage: Bacteria; Bacillati; Cyanobacteriota; Cyanophyceae; Nostocales; Tolypothrichaceae. The record is from RNAcentral.
AGACUGCGCGCGCUUCGAGGUGACCCGGCGGUGCGAGCCGCGGGUUGAAACGGGAAGCCGGUGCGUCCCCACGACCACGCCGGCGCUGCCCCCGCAACGGUAGGCGGAUCGAGCCGCGGCAUCGGCCACUGUGCGUCACGCAUGGGAAGGCGCCGCGGCGGGAACGCGUCAUGCGAUCCGUCCGCGAGCCCGGAGACCGGCCUCGUGCACGGGCGUGUC